Molecule: long non-coding RNA, 316 nt
Organism: Larimichthys crocea (large yellow croaker)
Lineage: Eukaryota; Metazoa; Chordata; Actinopteri; Sciaenidae
Exons: 3
Source: RefSeq, a predicted model, not a curated record
UGAAUAUGCUUCUGCUGGAGCGCUUUGCCACCGCCACACCGACCACUGAAGGCAACACUGAGGACAGAGACGCAGGCGGGGUUCAGUGCAAAGACAAUCACGUCAGGAACAAGGCCACAUCUCCCUGCGAUGAAAGAGUGAGUUGCAUCCAGCGAGACAGCGUCCACCUCGUCCCUCUGUGGCAUCAGUGAUGUUGGGAGAGAAUACAGUCGCGGAUUGAGGCCGCUUUAACACACACUAGCGGGUCUGACUUUAUACUCAGAGCCCACUGCUCACAUUUCUUCUGCUCUGCAUGGCUGAUACAGCACCAUCGCAC